UGCACAUGUACAUACAUAUUCAGUACUUCUUCUAUAAUUUUAACAGAUUUAGCAUUGAAAGUGACUGUGAUAUAUAAAUAUGUAUUGCAUGUGUAUAAUAUUUCAUAUUUUAUUCAAUUUGGUUUCCACUUCUUUGUUAUGAAGUAAAUGUCUAUGGACUUGGAGCUUGAAGACACAAUGGUGCUUAUCGCUUAAAUAACUUUUACGGAAAAGUGCAAGCCGUUGCCACUUUUUUUGUUGUUUCUACACAUAUUUUUGGAAAUGCCUAUAGUCAGGGUGGAAGGAUUGUUUCGAAGCUAAAAAUCGGAUCUAGAUGCGGGCAGCGGUCUUCUUCUUUUUUACAACAAGUCGGGUAACCGGAAGCUGAGCACUUCAGAUGAACCGUUACCGAGAUAUCGGGUCAACAGGAAGUUUCUCCGAAAAAAAAGCUGCUGAAGUCUGGUCACAAAAUUUGGUGGAAACAUGUGGUCUGUCAACCCCUUUACAUAUGGU
RNAcentral lists this unclassified non-coding RNA (492 nucleotides) under Hermetia illucens (black soldier fly). RNAcentral's name for it is "uncharacterized LOC119647564, transcript variant X7". The record is from RNAcentral. Lineage: Eukaryota; Metazoa; Arthropoda; Insecta; Diptera; Stratiomyidae.